AAUCUCUUGGACCCCUGUAGUACA
This 24-nucleotide microRNA is filed under the name Prunus persica (peach). RNAcentral's name for it is "microRNA miRNA_59". The record is from RNAcentral. Lineage: Eukaryota; Viridiplantae; Streptophyta; Magnoliopsida; Rosales; Rosaceae.